CUCCUUUGACGUUAGCGGCGGACGGGUGAGUAACACGUGGGUAACCUACCUAUAAGACUGGGAUAACUUCGGGAAACCGGAGCUAAUACCGGAUAAUAUUUCGAACCGCAUGGUUCAUAGUGAAAGGUGGUUUUGCUAUCACUUAUAGAUGGACCCGCGCCGUAUUAGCUAGUUGGUAAGGUAACGGCUUACCAGGGCGACGAUACGUAGCCGACCUGAGAGGGUGAUCGGCCACACUGGAACUGAGACACGGUCCAGACUCCUACGGGAGGCAGCAGGC
Molecule: ribosomal RNA, 280 nt
Filed under: uncultured Staphylococcus sp.
Lineage: Bacteria; Bacillati; Bacillota; Bacilli; Caryophanales; Staphylococcaceae
Description: partial 16S ribosomal RNA
Rfam family: Bacterial small subunit ribosomal RNA
Source: RNAcentral